UACGUAGGGUGCAAGCGUUGUCCGGAUUUAUUGGGCGUAAAGAGCUCGUAGGCGGUUUGUCGCGUCUGCUGUGAAAGCCCGAGGCUCAACCUCGGGUCUGCAGUGGGUACGGGCAGACUAGAGUGCGGUAGGGGAGAUUGGAAUUCCUGGUGUAGCGGUGGAAUGCGCAGAUAUCAGGAGGAACACCGAUGGCGAAGGCAGAUCUCUGGGCCGUUACUGACGCUGAGGAGCGAAAGCAUGGGGAGCGAACAGGAUUAGAUACCCCGGUAGUCC
This 273-nucleotide ribosomal RNA is filed under the name uncultured bacterium. RNAcentral's name for it is "partial 16S ribosomal RNA". It matches the Rfam family "Bacterial small subunit ribosomal RNA", at positions 524 to 796 of the family's 1533-position model. The record is from RNAcentral.